AUAAUAAUUUAGGGGUGCCUACUCGUGCCUUGCGGACGCUUUGCGCCGUGAGCUAUUCGGUUGAAGCAGUGAGCUGACGAACACGAGCUCCGCGGGGAGCGGCUGAGAACAAACCCUUAUAACCUGAUCCGGGUAAUGCCGGCGAAGAGAAAAUUACUGUUAUAUGC
This is a regulatory RNA element of 167 nucleotides. It matches the Rfam family "TPP riboswitch aptamer (THI element)". From Rfam's summary of the family: Vitamin B(1) in its active form thiamin pyrophosphate (TPP) is an essential coenzyme that is synthesised by coupling of pyrimidine and thiazole moieties in bacteria. The previously detected thiamin-regulatory element, thi box was extended, resulting in a new, highly conserved RNA secondary structure, the THI element, which is widely distributed in eubacteria and also occurs in some archaea. The record is from Rfam.